GGCUAGAAAGAGAGAAGGAGACAGUGAAUUCCUCGGAAGCCGCUCGCCCUGCACCCAAGCGGGACUUGCACCACAAGCAGCCCCAGGAAAAAACUCUCCAUUUCUUUCUCGUGGAGGCUCCAGAAGAAAAGCUGCGCAUUUACCCGGCGCAUUCUAACCGCCUUUGAGGUUCCCUCCGGCAGCCAUGGGAGCCGUGGUGGGGCAAAGCCUGGGCUGGGAGACGCUGCAAGGCUCUGGGGAGCAGUGAGGCGCCGCGCCAGCUCCUCCGUUCCCGUCAUAGCCUCACACGGGCUUCGCUGGACACGUCCAGGACGCAGCGCCGGUGGGCACCAGGCGUUGAGCGCCUGCCCCGCGUCUGUGCUAAGACCUCCCUUUGCAUUAUUGCAUUUAUUCCAACGAUGGGGUGAGGACCCUGAAAUUGUCUGGGAUCCACACCAGUCGGAAGAAAAAAAGAAUAGAAAACGCAGGGAUUCACCUCCUCUGCAGGCACCCUCAUGCCGAACACUAAACAGGAUGAUGUUGAAAAGGAUUUGGAGAUUUAUGCAGGUCACGAGCUUGAGGAAUUUUUCCAUUGAAUGCACCAUGCCUUGGGUUUCCCGUUUCCCACUGAAAAUCCCAUGGCUGACACUUUUUUUAUAUCAUUACCUUGGGAGAUGAAGAAAAACUCAUCUGUUAGGGCAGCUCUGUGAAUGCAGAUGCUUUGGGUUGUUUUGAAUGAAUGACUGAAUGUUCUGAAAUAAAGCAGGAAGGUGCCUGCGGGAUAAUGACUGGUUUCGCAACUCUUGGCCGGGAGUCUAGACCCCUCUGAUAAUCAAUAGAAAUGGAUGUAUAUUAAAUUUAGCAAUAGAAAAAGUAUA
This is a long non-coding RNA of Homo sapiens (human), 857 nucleotides long. NCBI's taxonomy places the organism in Eukaryota, Metazoa, Chordata, Mammalia, Primates, Hominidae. The record is from Ensembl.